This 1472-nucleotide ribosomal RNA is filed under the name uncultured Gammaproteobacteria bacterium. RNAcentral's name for it is "bacterial SSU rRNA". It matches the Rfam family "Bacterial small subunit ribosomal RNA". Lineage: Bacteria; Pseudomonadati; Pseudomonadota; Gammaproteobacteria. The record is from RNAcentral.
AUUGAACGCUGGCGGCAGGCUUAACACAUGCAAGUCGAACGGUAACAUAGGUGCUUGCACCUGAUGACGAGUGGCGGACGGGUGAGUAACGUAUGGGGAUCUGCCGAAUGGAGAGGGACAACAGUUGGAAACGGCUGCUAAUACCUCAUAAAGUAGAAAUACCAAAGGGGUGGGCUCAGAGAUGACCACUUGCCAUUUGAUGAACCCAUAUGAGAUUAGCUAGUAGGUGAGGUAAAGGCUCACCUAGGCGACGAUCUCUAGUUGGUCUGAGAGGAUGACCAGCCACACUGGAGCUGAGAAACGGACCAGACUCCUACGGGAGGCAGCAGUGGGGAAUAUUGCACAAUGGGGGAAACCCUGAUGCAGCCAUGCCGCGUGUAUGAAGAAGGCCUUAGGGUUGUAAAGUACUUUCGGUGAGGAGGAAGGUAAGAGUUUAAAUAGAGCGAUUACUUGACGUUACUCACAGAAGAAGCACCGGCAAACUCCGUGCCAGCAGCCGCGGUAAUACGGAGGGUGCGAGCGUUAAUCGGAAUGACUGGGCGUAAAGGGCAUGUAGGCGGAUAGACAAGUUAGGUGUGAAAUCCCUGGGCUCAACCUAGGAACAGCAUCUAAAACUGUGAAUCUAGAGUAUUGAAGGGGUAGGUAGAAUUCCACGUGUAGCGGUGAAAUGCGUAGAGAUGUGGAGGAAUACCGGUGGCGAAGGCGGCCUACUGGACAAAUACUGACGCUGAGAUGCGAAAGCGUGGGUAGCAAACAGGAUUAGAUACCCUGGUAGUCCACGCUGUAAACGAUGUCGAUUUAGAGUUUGUUGUGAUAAAACGAUGGGCUCUGAAGCUAACGCAUUAAAUCGACCGCCUGGGGAGUACGACCGCAAGGUUAAAACUCAAAUGAAUUGACGGGGGCCCGCACAAGCGGUGGAGCAUGUGGUUUAAUUCGAUGCAACGCGAAGAACCUUACCUGGUCUUGACAUGCACAGAAUCCCGUAGAGAUAGGGGAGUGCCUAAGGGAGCUGUGACACAGGUGCUGCAUGGCUGUCGUCAGCUCGUGUUGUGAAAUGUGGGUUAAGUCCCGCAACGAGCGCAACCCUUAUACUUUGUUGCCAGCACAUAAAGGUGGGGACUCAAAGUAGACUGCCGUUGAUAAAGCGGAGGAAGGUGGGGACGACGUCAAGUCAUCAUGGCCCUUACGACCAGGGCUACACACGUGCUACAAUGGCGUAUACAAAGGGAAGCGAAGGAGCGAUCUGGAGCGAAACUACGAAAGUACGUCCAAGUUCGGAUUGGAGUCUGCAACUCGACUCCAUGAAGUCGGAAUCGCUAGUAAUCGUGGAUCAGAAAGCCACGGUGAAUACGUUCCCGGGCCUUGUACACACCGCCCGUCACACCAUGGGAGUGGGUUGCACCAGAAGUAGAUAGCUUAACUGUACGUAAGUAUGGGUGGCGUUUACCACGGUGUGAUUCAUGACUGGGGUG